UAGGGAAUCUUCGGCAAUGGACGAAAGUCUGACCGAGCAACGCCGCGUGAGUGAAGAAGGUUUUCGGAUCGUAAAACUCUGUUGUUAGAGAAGAACAAGGACGUUAGUAACUGAACGUCCCUUGACGGUAUCUAACCAGAAAGCCACGGCUAACUACGUGCCAGCAGCCGCGGGAAUACGUAGGUGGCAAGCGUUGUCCGGAUUUAUUGGGCGUAAAGCGAGCGCAGGCGGUUUCUUAAGUCGGAUGUGAAAGCCCCCGGCUCAACCGGGGAGGGUCAUUGGAAACUGGGAGACUUGAGUGCAGAAGAGGAGAGUGGAAUUCCAUGUGUAGCGGUGAAAUGCGUAGAUAUAUGGAGGAACACCAGUGGCGAAGGCGGCUCUCUGGUCUGUAACUGACGCUGAGGCUCGAAAGCGUGGGGAGCAAACAGG
This 429-nucleotide ribosomal RNA is filed under the name Gemmatimonadota bacterium. RNAcentral describes it as "Gemmatimonadetes bacterium partial 16S ribosomal RNA". It matches the Rfam family "Bacterial small subunit ribosomal RNA", at positions 355 to 776 of the family's 1533-position model. The record is from RNAcentral. Lineage: Bacteria; Pseudomonadati; Gemmatimonadota.